Molecule: long non-coding RNA, 636 nt
Organism: Schistocerca americana (American grasshopper)
Lineage: Eukaryota; Metazoa; Arthropoda; Insecta; Orthoptera; Acrididae
Exons: 3
Source: RefSeq, a predicted model, not a curated record
AAGCUUUAAUUGUGUGAUCUUUUUAUUGUGCCUAUCGUGACUCAGCAUCUCCGCUAUAUGAUGCCAGCAUAAAUGUUUUAAGAAGUUUUCAGUUGCUGAGAAUGAAAUAUUGUUGACAGAACUCAACAACGCCUAACAAAGAUGGACCGGGGGGUACUUGGGUGCUCAAACUCUUUCCUUUAUAGCAAGAGCAAGGAGACUGCACCCAAAUUCCAUUACUAACUGUGGAAGGACAACAAAAUUAUUAUUGUAAGGUUAAAGUUGCCUUCAAGGAAACUAUAUUAUGCAAUAAAAACUCUAUUGCACUCCAUGUUAAAAAAAAGGUCAAGUGGAGAGACUGUGCCAUCUAAUUCAAGGAGGAGUUCCAGAAAGUACUAAUGUCAUGACAGAUGAACUCAUACAGUAUUGUCCAGUAAAGGUAGCACAUUAUAAACAUUGUGGUAGGAAGAAGAGAUAUCUCUAAGUUCUUUAUCUGUGAAGCUCAUGUGGAAAAUAAAAAGAAACCAUAAUGUACAUAAUUUACAGAUAUCAAAGUAACAUUGCUGACCCAGGAUUGUUCAUGGAACAUGGAAAAAAUAAAUAAAUCAUUCAAAUUCAUAACAGUUCACAUUUAAUGGUAUGAAUGAUAGAUGUUGA